This 72-nucleotide transfer RNA is filed under the name Phrynosoma platyrhinos (Desert horned lizard). Its description in RNAcentral is "tRNA-OTHER". Lineage: Eukaryota; Metazoa; Chordata; Lepidosauria; Squamata; Phrynosomatidae. The record is from RNAcentral.
GCCAAUGUGGCAUAGUGGUCUGAGUGUUGGAUUAUAACUCUGGAGACCAGGGUUCAAUUUCCAGCUUGGCCA